AACGAACGCUGGCGGCAUGCCUAACACAUGCAAGUCGAACGAGACCUUCGGGUCUAGUGGCGCACGGGUGCGUAACACGUGGGAAUUUGCCUCGGGGUAUGGAAUAACUCAGGGAAACUUGAGCUAAUACCAUAUAAUGUCUUCGGACCAAAGAUUUAAUCGCCCUGAGAUAAGCCCGCGUAGGAUUAGCUAGUUGGUGGGGUAAAGGCUCACCAAGGCGACGAUCCUUAGCUGGUCUGAGAGGAUGAUCAGCCACACUGGACUGAGACACGGCCCAGACUCCUACGGGAGGCAGCAGUGGGGAAUA
This 307-nucleotide ribosomal RNA is filed under the name uncultured bacterium. RNAcentral's name for it is "bacterial SSU rRNA". It matches the Rfam family "Bacterial small subunit ribosomal RNA", at positions 29 to 363 of the family's 1533-position model. The record is from RNAcentral.